This 253-nucleotide ribosomal RNA is filed under the name uncultured bacterium. Its description in RNAcentral is "partial 16S ribosomal RNA". It matches the Rfam family "Bacterial small subunit ribosomal RNA", at positions 524 to 776 of the family's 1533-position model. The record is from RNAcentral.
UACGUAGGUGGCAAGCGUUGUCCGGAAUUAUUGGGCGUAAAGCGCGCGCAGGCGGUCCUUUAAGUCUGAUGUGAAAGCCCACGGCUCAACCGUGGAGGGUCAUUGGAAACUGGGAGACUUGAGUGCAGAAGAGAAGAGUGGAAUUCCACGUGUAGCGGUGAAAUGCGUAGAGAUGUGGAGGAACACCAGUGGCGAAGGCGACUUUUUGGUCUGUAACUGACGCUGAGGCGCGAAAGCGUGGGGAGCAAACAGG